UACGUAGGGGGCAAGCGUUGUCCGGAUUUACUGGGCGUAAAGAGCGUGUAGGCGGCCAAGCAGGUCCGUUGUGAAAACUGGAGGCUCAACCUCGAGACGUCGGUUGAAACCGUCUGGCUAGAGUCCGGAAGAGGAGAGUGGAAUUCCCGGUGUAGCGGUGAAAUGCGCAGAUAUCGGGAAGAACACCCGUGGCGAAGGCGGCUCUCUGGGACGGUACUGACGCUGAGACGCGAAAGCGUGGGGAGCGAACAGG
This 253-nucleotide ribosomal RNA is filed under the name uncultured bacterium. RNAcentral's name for it is "partial 16S ribosomal RNA". It matches the Rfam family "Bacterial small subunit ribosomal RNA", at positions 524 to 776 of the family's 1533-position model. The record is from RNAcentral.